CAAGCAAUUUAAUUUGAGAGCCCAAACAAUAAAACAAUUGGCCCAAGUGAUGAUCCAAUUUGUAUAGAUCUUCUAGAUGGUUAUUAAACAAAUAAAACAACUAAUAAAAUUGGCCAAAAUGGUAGAGAUAUCCGGCCAUUCAAGGGGCAAGUGAGCACAAGAUUCAUUUAAUUUAGCUAACAUUUUAGUUAGUCAAAAGUUGGUUACCAAAUCACCUAAGUUUAGCC
This 227-nucleotide long non-coding RNA is filed under the name Panax ginseng (ginseng). RNAcentral's name for it is "long non-coding RNA (PGIN_LNC008215)". The record is from RNAcentral. Lineage: Eukaryota; Viridiplantae; Streptophyta; Magnoliopsida; Apiales; Araliaceae.